AUUGAACGCUGGCGGCAUGCCUUACACAUGCAAAUCGAACGGUAACGGGCCUUCGGGUGCCGACGAGUGGCGAACGGGUGAGUAAUACAUCGGAACGUGCCCGAUCGUGGGGGAUAACGAGGCGAAAGCUUUGCUAAUACCGCAUACGAUCUACGGAUGAAAGCAGGGGACCGCAAGGCCUUGCGCGGACGGAGCGGCCGAUGGCAGAUUAGGUAGUUGGUGGGAUAAAAGCUUACCAAGCCGACGAUCUGUAGCUGGUCUGAGAGGAUGAUCAGCCACAGUGGGGUGGAGACAAGGCCCGGACCCCACGGGGAGGAAGGGGUGGGGAAUUUUGGCAAAUGGGGGAAAGCCUGAUCAAGCCAGGCCGGGUGAAGGAUGAAGGCCUUCGGGUUGUAAACUGAUUUUGUACGGAACAAAAACCCUUUUUUUAAAACAGGGGGGUCAGGAAGGUACCGAAAAAAAAAGCACCGGCGAACUACGU
Molecule: ribosomal RNA, 481 nt
Filed under: uncultured bacterium
Lineage: Bacteria
Description: partial 16S ribosomal RNA
Rfam family: Bacterial small subunit ribosomal RNA
Source: RNAcentral